UUUCCGUAGGUGAACCUGCGGAAGGAUCAUUGUCGAAACCUGCCCAGCAGAACGACCCGCGAACUUGUAUAAACAACCGGGGGCGGGGGGCGUUCUCGCCCCGUGCCCCCGAACGGCGGGGAGACACUCGUGCCUUCUUGCCGAACAACGAACCCCGGCGCGGUCUGCGCCAAGGAACUUCAACUAAAGAGUGCCUCCGGUCGCCUCGGAAACGGCGUGCGUGCCGGGGGGGAAUCUUGUGAAAAACCAUAACGACUCUCGGCAACGGAUAUCUCGGCUCUC
This 282-nucleotide unclassified non-coding RNA is filed under the name plant metagenome. RNAcentral describes it as "partial contains small subunit ribosomal RNA, internal transcribed spacer 1, and 5.8S ribosomal RNA". The record is from RNAcentral.